This 694-nucleotide ribosomal RNA is filed under the name Fustiger sp. Costa Rica JP-2014. RNAcentral's name for it is "eukaryotic LSU rRNA". It matches the Rfam family "Eukaryotic large subunit ribosomal RNA", at positions 663 to 1265 of the family's 3401-position model. Lineage: Eukaryota; Metazoa; Arthropoda; Insecta; Coleoptera; Staphylinidae. The record is from RNAcentral.
GGACCAAGGAGUCCAGAGAACGAGCGUGAAGCAAAGGAUCAUUUUAUUGAAUCCGUCAAACUUAACGAAAGCAAUAACAACAACUUGUUUGUUUGUAUGAUGAGACGAGAACGAAAUGUGCAUACAUUAUGUGUAUAUUAGUUCGAGUCUAGGCAAUACGAAGAUGGCAAUUAUGUAUUUUGUGUAUGCAAAAUACUGCCGUACUUGUAGCUCGUGCUCUGGAACCCGAAAGAUGGUGAACUAUGCAUGAAAAGGAUGAAGCCAGGGGAAACUCUGGUGGAGGUCCGCAAUGGUUCUGACGUGCAAAUCGAUCAUCAGAAUUUUGUAUAGGGGCGGAAGACCAAUCGAACCAUCUAGUAGCUGGUUCCUUUCGAAGUUUCCCUAAGGAUAGCUGAGGUCUAGUAAAAGAUAGUCACAUGCGGUAAAGCGAAUGAUUAGAGUCGUUGGGUUCGAAACGUUCUCAACCUAUUCUCAAACUGUUAAUGUGUGUGUUCUCCAUUAGCUAUCAAGUGCACAACACAUAAGUAGCAAACGGAUAGAUAGUAGAGGCCUUUAGUGGGCCAUUUUUGGUAAGCAGAACUGGCGAUGCGGGAUGAACCGGUCGUAAAGUUAUAGUGCCAAAAUCAACGCAUAUCGGACCCCACAAAAGGCGUUAGUAACUAAAGACAGCAGGACGAUGGCCAUGGAAGUCGGC